GACGGAGGGGGCUAGCGUUGUUCGGAAUUACUGGGCGUAAAGCGCACGUAGGCGGCCUUUCAAGUCAGAUGUGAAAGCCCCGAGCUUAACUCGGGAACUGCAUUUGAUACUGUUGGGCUUGAGACCGGGAGAGGAUAGCGGAAUUCCCAGUGUAGAGGUGAAAUUCGUAGAUAUUGGGAAGAACACCAGUGGCGAAGGCGGCUAUCUGGACCGGUACUGACGCUGAGGUGCGAAAGCGUGGGGAGCAAACAGGAUUAGAAACCCGGUAGUCC
Molecule: ribosomal RNA, 272 nt
Filed under: uncultured prokaryote
Description: partial 16S ribosomal RNA
Rfam family: Bacterial small subunit ribosomal RNA
Source: RNAcentral